This 324-nucleotide ribosomal RNA is filed under the name uncultured eukaryote. Its description in RNAcentral is "partial 18S ribosomal RNA". It matches the Rfam family "Eukaryotic small subunit ribosomal RNA", at positions 1470 to 1796 of the family's 1831-position model. The record is from RNAcentral.
CCCUUAGAUGUUCUGGGCUGCACGCGCGCUACACUGAUGCGAUCAACAAGUUUUUCCUAUGUCGAUAGACACGGGUAAUCUUUUGGACUCGCAUCGUGAUGGGGAUAGAUUAUUGUAAUUAUUAAUCUUCAACGAGGAAUUCCUAGUAGGUGCAAAUCAUCAGUUUGCAUCGAUUACGUCCCUGCCCUUUGUACACACCGCCCGUCGCUGCUACCGAUUGGUUGAUCUGGUGAAUUAUUCGGACUGCCGGCUGAAGGGGUUUCCUCAUCUGCCAGCGGAAAGUCUUGUUAACCCUAUCAACUAGAGGAAGCAGAAGUCGUAACA